Non-coding RNA from Picea glauca (white spruce), 121 nucleotides. The record is from Rfam. Lineage: Eukaryota; Viridiplantae; Streptophyta; Pinopsida; Pinales; Pinaceae.
ACAUGUAUACAACAUAGCGUUAAUGCAUCGGAUCCCAUUAGAACUCUAGAGUUAAGCAUGCUCAAGAUAGAGUAGUACUAGGAUGGGUGACCACUCGAGAAGUCCUAGUGUUUUACAUGCC